GACGAACGCUGGCGGCGGGCUUAACACAUGCAAGUCGAACGGAAAGGCCCUGGUUUGGUGGGGUGCUCGAGUUGCGAACUGGUGAGUAACACGUUAGUAACCUGCCCUUGACUUUGGGAUAACUUCAUGAAACUGGGGCUAAUACCGGAUAGGAGCUCCUGCUGCAUGGUGGGGGUUGGAAAGUUUCGGCGGUUGGGGAUGGAAUCGCGGCUUAUCAGCUUGUUGGUGGGGUAGUGGCUUACCAAGGCUUGGACGGGUAGCCGGCCUGAUAGGGUGACCGGCCACAUUGGGACUGAGAUGAGGCACAGCCUCCUACGGGAGGCAGCAGUGGGGAAUAUUGCACAAUGGGCGGAAGCCUGAUGCAGCCAAGCCGCGUGCGGGAUGACGGCCUUCGGGUUGUAAACCGCUUUCGCCUGUGACGAAGCGUGAGUGACGGUAAUGGGUAAAGAAGCACCGGCUAACUACGUG
RNAcentral lists this ribosomal RNA (468 nucleotides) under uncultured bacterium. Its description in RNAcentral is "partial 16S ribosomal RNA". It matches the Rfam family "Bacterial small subunit ribosomal RNA", at positions 28 to 507 of the family's 1533-position model. The record is from RNAcentral.